Xenia sp. Carnegie-2017 is the source of this 1122-nucleotide long non-coding RNA. RefSeq lists it as uncharacterized. The record is from RefSeq and is a predicted model, not a curated record. NCBI's taxonomy places the organism in Eukaryota, Metazoa, Cnidaria, Anthozoa, Malacalcyonacea, Xeniidae. The transcript has 3 exons.
UCUGUAUCAGACCAUACGGCGCUAUCCUCAAAAUGUUCAAUUUCACAUGACGUCGUCUGUGUGCUGUGAUUUGUGGUUAAAAUUAACUCAACUUCCGUACCUUAACAUAAAAUUAUCGUAUUGCUGGAUUUUCUACGAAAACCAAAACGUCCGAACUGGGAAGUCUUUACCUCUACUCGUUAUAUUUGGCACUUUUGUUUGAGUGGCUCUUGACCUUACGUGUUUUUGCGGAGGGAUUGUUAUGUCUGCUUGGCAUUUCACAUUGCGCUUCUAAGACAAACUUCCAUUGAGGUAAAACGCACAAACAUUUCGAGCCGAUGUCGACAUAUCGUGGUCGUCGUCUACAAGAACGUCGUCAUGUUCUUCAAAAAAGUCGUCAUGUUCUGCAAGAUCGUCGUCAAUAAUCUAAAAUUAUAAGAUUGUCUUCAAUUUGAUGCUACACUUGUGGGUUCCACAGAGUAUUCAAAAAUCGUGGGUACAGCAUCCUUCUUAAGGGGAAGCCGUCCUGCUGUCCAUCCGACUCAUUGCAUCGCUUCAAAAUAUUGCACGAAGCACGAACUCUCGAAAUGUUGCGAGCACAAUUUUGAGCUCUUUGUUGGCUUCCAAUUUUUGCGUCGGUUUAUCUCGCAUGCGCUUGUUUUCGGGAAACGAAAACAAAGAAACCUUUUGUUGCGUUUGGUGGUUCUUAGAAGAACCGUUUUUACAAUCAAAUGCGGCACAAUAAAUCAUAUUUUCAAUGCUAAAUUGUCGUGUUGUUAAUGCAGGCAAAAUGUUACCAAUAUAUUUUGAACGAAGCGCGCAAUUUACCGCGUCUAGCUAGUGUCAACUAUUACGUCACAACGACGUUUUUCCGAUUUGGUAGCCAUCGUUAUCUCGUCGGGCAUAUUCAAUACCUUAUCAGUAAAGCAUCAAAUUUAAACCUCCAUAUCUUCAAAAUUAUUUAUCCUUUGGGUCUCAAACUGUGGUGAACUAUUACUUGGAGCUAUACCUUUAUGUACAGUACAAAAAUAACAAUUCGAAUUUUAUGUUGCAUGUGUCCUUUAAGGAGCUUUUAUGGGGUAUGUAUAAAAUGUGGAACGGAAUGGCAGAAAAAGGAAUAAAAUGCGGAAAAAGGAAUAAAAU